GGGCGUGUGGCUCAGUUGGUAGAGCGUUCGCUUAGCAUGCGUACUUACCAAACCCGUGUAUGCGAAAGGUCCUGGGUUCGAUUCCCAGCUCGUCCA
Molecule: non-coding RNA, 96 nt
Organism: Parathielavia appendiculata
Lineage: Eukaryota; Fungi; Ascomycota; Sordariomycetes; Sordariales; Chaetomiaceae
Source: the annotation of a RefSeq genome assembly